CGGACGGGUGAGUAAUGUCUGGGAAACUGCCUGAUGGAGGGGGAUAACUACUGGAAACGGUAGCUAAUACCGCAUAACGUCGCAAGACCAAAGAGGGGGACCUUAGGGCCUCUUGCCAUCGGAUGUGCCCAGAUGGGAUUAGCUAGUAGGUGGGGUAAAGGCUCACCUAGGCGACGAUCCCUAGCUGGUCUGAGAGGAUGACCAGCCACACUGGAACUGAGACGCGGUCCAG
Molecule: ribosomal RNA, 232 nt
Filed under: uncultured bacterium
Lineage: Bacteria
Description: partial 16S ribosomal RNA
Rfam family: Bacterial small subunit ribosomal RNA
Source: RNAcentral